RNAcentral lists this transfer RNA (95 nucleotides) under Cryptomonas curvata. RNAcentral describes it as "tRNA-Phe". Lineage: Eukaryota; Cryptophyceae; Cryptomonadales; Cryptomonadaceae. The record is from RNAcentral.
GCGGUAAUAGCUCAGUUGUAAAAGCUGAAGGAGAGCGUUAGACUGAAGAUCUUAAGGUCCCUAGUUCGAUUAAUUCGUGGUUCUGGGUUACCGCA